CAUCCAUAUCUUUCUGACAGUUAAUUCGUAAAAUCGUUGAACCAUUAAACGUUAAGAUCUCAUUAAUAUGUGUAACACUGUUAUAAGGUUGCAUGUUUAAAUUUUAGAUAUAUUAAUGUGCGUACAAUACAACAUUACUUUUUAACUAUUUGGUGCUUUUUUUAGUAGAGAUCUUUAUUUUAAAUAAUAAAUCUUACAAAAUCUUUAAACAGACUUACUAAGAAGGGA
This 228-nucleotide long non-coding RNA is filed under the name Mytilus galloprovincialis (Mediterranean mussel). The record is from RNAcentral. Lineage: Eukaryota; Metazoa; Mollusca; Bivalvia; Mytilida; Mytilidae.